RNAcentral lists this long non-coding RNA (439 nucleotides) under Trifolium pratense (red clover). RNAcentral's name for it is "long non-coding RNA (TPRA_LNC008274)". Lineage: Eukaryota; Viridiplantae; Streptophyta; Magnoliopsida; Fabales; Fabaceae. The record is from RNAcentral.
CAAGAACAUAUCAGAUCUAGUGGAUCACAGAACAUAUCACAAUGAAACCAUGAGAGAGAGAGAGAACGACGAUGGAGUGGAGGUUGCGUGCGGCUGUCGACAGAGAUGGAGGUAGCGGAGGGGGAGCGGCUGGUGGUGUGCAGUGGUGGUUGACGAUGAUUUGCAAAGAGAGAUGAAAUGCUUGUUCCUGCGUUUUUUUCCUUUUUCUACUUUUCCUAUUUAUUCUAUUUCUUUGUUGUGUUAUGUGUUGGUUAUUUUGGUGAGAGUGUGAGUUUGUUGGUGAUUUUAUGAAGAUGUUGUUGUAAUUUAUGAUGAUGUUGAUGAAUAUUUUCAAGGAAUCCUUUUUAUUGAGAUUUUUAAAUUUUUUGGGUUAAUUUUUUUUUUCUUUUCUGGAUUUUAUUUUGGAGUUUAUGAGUUUUGUUUGAAGGUGUAAUGAAGA